Cygnus atratus (black swan) is the source of this 2027-nucleotide long non-coding RNA. RefSeq lists it as uncharacterized. NCBI's taxonomy places the organism in Eukaryota, Metazoa, Chordata, Aves, Anseriformes, Anatidae. The transcript has 3 exons. The record is from RefSeq and is a predicted model, not a curated record.
GCGCAGAGACGUCUGGCGCACGGCGGAGUCCCCGUCCGGGAGGAGGGUAGCGUACAGGCUGACCGGCAGAGCGGCCGGGGGCAUUUGCUGACCGAUAGGGCGGCCGCCAGCGAUCUGGGGAGCAGACGGAGCAAAUCCGAGGUCACCGCUGCAUCCCCGUGCUGGGAGCCAGGACGGACCUGCUAGUGACAGUGUAAGAAGCAGGAGAAGGGGAAGCGGGCCCCUCACAAUUGCGACAGGGUUACGUGGGUCAUAUCUGCAGCUGCUGGAGAGCAGGAGUGGUAAUAAUUUAUCCAAACCUCCGUAUUCUAGCUGAUCUUCAUCUCUGAUCUUAAAAGCUUCACAGGCUGAAAGAGAAUUGAGAUGAGGAAGGAAACAGAGGAUGCUGAUGAAUAUUUCCAAUUACCACCCCAACUUAUGUCUUGGCUCUUCACAUCAAGCCAGAGCAGUUUCUUUGCCUCCGGAACCUGCAGACUGACCUCUCGUGUGUAUCUGUGGUGGACUGAGGGUAAUGUUUGUAACACACACUGAUGCUGUAUUCACUGUAACUUUCAGAAAAGAGAGCAAGAAGCUAACCUGCAUAGCAGUUGCUUAGGUUUCUGUAUGUAUAUAUAUAUAUAUAUAUAUGCAUAUAAAUAUAUAUGCAUAUAUAUAUUCAAUUAUUUAUUUACUUAUUUAAAGGUAUCUUUUGUUCUCUAAAAUGAAUCCUCUGACUGUUACUAAUGUAUGGGACAUACCUUGACACUAUAACGGUGUAUAAAUACUUUUCAUCUCAUCCUUGCUAUUGUUACUGUAUUUAAAAAAUAAUUGUGAAUAUAAUUAUCUGCUUUUAUUAUUUUUUUUUUUUUAAAAGCAUAUAUAUACAUAUUCUAUUAUAAAAUCCUAUAAAAAGGAGUGCCAACCAGAAGGGAUAAACGUUCAUUCUCCUUGACUUUCCAUGUUCCAUCUGGGACAUAGAAUGGUUUUUCAUCACUUAAGAGAACUCAAUGUCUUUUUGUGAACUUUUUGUGAACUUGCCUUUGUUCAACCAAGUGAAUCAACAGGUAUAGCUCAAAAAUUAUAAUGCAAUAGAUGAAGAGAGCAUUUGUAUCAAGCCCUUUUUCUUUAGGAAAAGAUGUCUCUGAAAAGCUAUACUAAGACAUAAAAUAACACGUAAGACAUAAAGUCAAGUUUGCAACAGGAAGAAGCUAAAUACAUUAAAGAACAGCUACACCUGCAGCUGCUGACAGAGAAUGAAACGAGACCCACUGGGUCUCUCAUGCUCUCAGUGCAUCACACAAGAACAUCCCAGCUGCAGCUGCUGCCCCAAAAGGCAGUGCUAGCUAAAAGGCUCCAAUCGUUAAACAUGCACAACAAACAGGAUGUACACACACGUCUUUUUAAGAACAGCUGUUUUCCCCAAACCUGUUUGUGAAAUUUAUUUCAUGACUGAAGGUAGAAAACUAUACAUGCUCAUACACUAAUGUCAUCUUCCAAUUAAAACAUAUUUCAAACUAAGCUUUGGAAACUCACUUUCUUUACAUCAGGAACUGAGUAACAGUGGUUGUGCUUCUGUGACAGCAGCUACGUGCAACCUUUCAUGCAGCUGAAAGAACAAAGCAUCUAUCAAAACAGCGCUGAAUUUUCAUUUUUAGUCACCUCUUUGCUGUUUGUCUGUGUCUCCAGAGCUGCUCAGUGGCUACCUCAGUGUUCCCACCUAGCGCUGUCACGGUUGUAAGGACUACUAGAAGGGUUUGGAGCUCACACGUCCGCUUCAAAUGUUUCAUCUUUGCCUAGGUGCCUUCCCCUAGAAGUACAGGAAAAUAACGAGGAUAUACUUUCAAAAAUCUUGACUAGUGGAGAGACGCCAGCCCGUUAUCCAGAUUCCUCGCAUCUUGGACAUAAAUUCUCACCCAGCAAUGUGUAUCCUUGUUAACGCUGCCACCUACUGGAAACCACACAUCUUAGCGUCCUCUCGGCAACUACUGCAGCAAAUUCUUACGGAAGACAGUAAAAGCAAGACAGUUGAAAUAAAAAGAUUUCCAGAU